RNAcentral lists this ribosomal RNA (497 nucleotides) under uncultured bacterium. Its description in RNAcentral is "partial 16S ribosomal RNA". It matches the Rfam family "Bacterial small subunit ribosomal RNA", at positions 28 to 507 of the family's 1533-position model. The record is from RNAcentral.
GAUGAACGCUGGCGGCGUGCCUAAUACAUGCAAGUCGAGCGAACAGACGAGGAGCUUGCUCCUCUGACGUUUGCGGCGGACGGGGGAGUAACACGUGGAUACCCUACCUAUAAGACUGGGAUACCUCAGGGAAACCGGAGCUAAUACCGGAUAACCUGUUGAACCGCAUGGUUCAACAGUGAAGGACGGUCUUGCUGUCACUUAUACAUGGAUCCGCGCCGCAUUAGCUAGUGGGUAAGGUAACGGCUUACCAAGGGAACGAUGCGUAGCCGACCUGAAAGAGUGAACGGCCGAACGGGAACUGGGACACGGUCCAGACUCCUACGGGAGGCAACAGUAGGAAAUCUUCGGCAAGGGGGGAAAGCCGGACGGAGCAACGCCGCGGGGGUGAAGAGGGUCUUCGGUUCGAAAAACCCUGUUAUUAGGGAAAAACAAAUGUGUAAGUAACUAUGCACGUCUUGACGGUACCUGAUCAGAAAGCCACGGCUAACUACGUG